GACGAGGAGGGUUCUAGAGUUAGGAUAUUUUGUAUGGAAGAGUGUGGAAGUUGCCACAUGGCAACACCACAAUGAUCAUGAGCACCUACAAAUAGAGGUACUUCCCUCCCUCCUAGCCAUAGCAUGGCAUAUAGUGGCAUGUGAGCCAUAGGUGAAGAGAUGACAAAAUUGCCAUGUAGUGUAGUGGUGUCAUGGUAAGGUAGCCACAUAAAGAGUGUAAGAGUGAGUGUUGUAUCAAGUUAUGAGUAGGUGAAUAAAAGAUUUGAGUUCCCUUGUAGAGAGUUGGUCUCCCAUGUUGGUGUCGGUGUGAAUGUCUCCUCAGAGUGUGGGUAUAAGGUCCACAAAAGAAGUGGUGUCACACCACUUUGGUGCCACUUCUAGGGAGUUGGUGUCACGGUUUGGAUGUCGAUUUCUCAACACUAGGUAUCAUAGCCAGGUUGGUUAGCGACCGUCAUUGGGAGGAGUUUUGUGGUGAGUGCGAGGCACUCAUAGUGGUCGUGACGAGUUUUGUGGUGAGUGCGCGGCACUCAUAGUGGUCGGUGCAGUUGUUGGUAGGCGCAGGGCGCUUACAUUGCUUUGUGUGGCAUCGAGAGGCGCUAAGGGGAGACUCUGCCGGAGAUCACAAUCCGGGACUGUGAAGGAAUGUUGGUCUGGGACCAAGCGUAGGUGAUGCUGGGUGCCAGUUGAGAUGGCGGAUCUCUUGAGCGCAGGAGGUAUGAGGAAGCUCAAUAGCCACAACUAUGGCUAUUGGCAGACCUGCAUAGAGUCCUACUUGAUGGGUCAGGACCUAUGGGAGGUCGUAGCAGGCACCGAGAAAACUCCUCCACCAAAGGAGAACACGAAAGCCUUGCGGAAGUGUCGAAUCUAGGUAGGCAAGGCUAUGUUCGUGUUGAAGACGACGAUCGAGGAAGACCUGGUGGAGCACAUCAGAGACACAGUGACACCAAAUGAGGCUUGUGAGACAUUGUGAAGCUAUUCUCGAAGGAGAAUGAGGCACAAUUUCAGCUUCUAGAGAAAGAGCUUGCAGGUAUCUCACAAGGAACUCUGAGCAUUAACAAGUACUUUACUAAGGUAAAAAAUAUAUGCCGGGAGUUAUCUUAGCUUGACCCGGAGGAGAAGGUCAGCGAAGCUCGGAUGAGAAGGAUCAUCAUCAGCGGCCUAAGACCCGAGUACAGUGGGUUUAUGGCUGCAGUGCAUGGCCAGUACAGCCGUCCUUGGUGGAGUUGGAGAACUUAUUGGCUAAUCAGGAGGCAUUAGACAAGUAGAUGGGCAACAUCACUUUGGAAGAGAAGGAUGAAGAGGAGGUGCUCUUCAUCAGAAAGAAGGGUCCACCAAGAGUCCGAGGAGAGGCGAAAGAGUGGACAAGAGGUGAUAGGAGUUGCCCAAAGAAGAGCAACUAUUCAUGGGGAGCUCAACAAGAGAGCAGUGACGAAGAUGACGAAGAGUUAGUCAAGAAUGAGAGGAGAAGAAGAGGUGAGUGCUUCAACUAUGGCAAGAAAGGGCAUCUUGCACGGGACUGCUGGAGUCUACGGAGGCACUCAAAAGGAAACGUGGCUACAACAAAAGAAGUUGUCCUGAGUGGGUGGCUAAGCGAAGAAGAGUGGAAUGCUGAGGCAGCAGCCACAAUUGAAGAUGAUGGAGCUUACUUCGUGGAAGAUUUGACAGAAGGUGAAACUCCAUCAAAUAGCAUUGGAGAAGAAGAAGAAGAGUGGGAUGCAGAAGGUGGCUUCUCCAUGGAGGUGAGAGAUCCAGAUACUUUAGAUGGAUUCAUAGUAUUUGGAUAUGAUAGUGAUGAAGAUUGGGAGGCUCUAAGUGACGAGGAGGAAGAUAUUAAAGAUGAGAAGAUAGAGCCUAGUCUUCAUGAUGACGAGGAGCCACAAGAGCAUGGUGAAGAUAGACAUGGAGCAUUAGUGAUCCAUGAAGAUUUGGAGGAGCAUGAUAGGGCAAAGAAAAUUAUGGAAGGACGCAAUUGUAAAGUUCUCAGGUAUGACAAUGAUUCACCGGCUAAAGUUAUUUUGCCUUCGUACAAGGAAGCAUCUAGAGGACAGAGAACUAGAAGGGGGAAGAAGAAAGAGCAUGGAUGCAUAAGUCUGUGGGGAACCUCCAACUGAAGACAGAGGUAUAUGAGUUGAAGGAAAAGAAGACCAUGUCAUGAGGGGAAGUGAAGAAGAAGAUUCAUAAUGGUAGAGCGCAGAAGAUCCAAGGGCAGGGACACGCAAUGGUUCGAUCGCCCGAGACAAGUAUGCAUUGAGGGAGAGUGUUGAAAUAUGUAAUGCAUACUUGGAACAUUCUAGAAGAUUGUGGAGAUAUCAAGAGACUAACUUUGCCAUGUAUAAGGAUAAGAUCAUGACAAUGUAAGAAGGUUCUUGAAAAUUGGAGAGAAUGCAUGAGCCAUAGUUGCCAUGCUUCAUGGUGAAGUGUAUAAUACUCUGUAACUAGAUAUUUUAGCAUUAUUUUAGCAUGGUAGAAAUAUAAGAAACUAGAUAAGGAUGAGGAGGGUUCUAGAGUUAGGAUAUUUUAUAUGGAAGGGUGUGGAAGGUUCCACAUGGUAACACCAUAAUGAUCAUGAGCACCUAUAAAUAGAGGUGUUCCCCUCUCUCCUAGCCAUACCAUGGUAUAGAGUGGCAUGCAAGCCAUAGGUGAAGAGAUGGCAAAAUUGCCAUGUAGUGUAGUGGUGUCAUGAUAGGGUAGCCACAUAAAGAGUGUAAGAGUGAGUGUUGUAUCAAGUUGUGAGUAGGUGAAUAAAAGAUUUGAGUUCCCUUGUAGAGAGUUGGUCUCCCGUAUUGGUAUCGGUGUGAAGGUCUCCUCAGAGUGUGGGUACAAGGUCCACAGAAGAAGUGGUAUCACACCACUUUGGUGCCACUUCUAGGGAGUCGGUGUCAAGAUUUGGGCGUCGAUUUCUAACAGCUACAUAUUUUUGGCUGCUGAUUAUACCUAAAAGCAUAGAUGCUUUCAAAUUGUAGCUUUGGUCUAGAAGAUUUUAUUCUAUUUCUCGUGUACCAACUGUUCACCCUAGUAUAAUCUAGCUUUCAAUGAUGAGCAUGUUGAGU
Molecule: long non-coding RNA, 3050 nt
Filed under: Setaria viridis
Lineage: Eukaryota; Viridiplantae; Streptophyta; Magnoliopsida; Poales; Poaceae
Description: long non-coding RNA (SVIR_LNC011431)
Source: RNAcentral